Molecule: ribosomal RNA, 192 nt
Filed under: Salmonella enterica subsp. enterica serovar Johannesburg str. S5-703
Lineage: Bacteria; Pseudomonadati; Pseudomonadota; Gammaproteobacteria; Enterobacterales; Enterobacteriaceae
Description: partial small subunit ribosomal RNA
Source: RNAcentral
AGGGGUUCGAAUCCCCUAGGGGACGCCACUACAGGCAUCAAAUAGAAUGAAAGGCUCAGUCGAAAGACUGGGCCUUUUGUUUUAUCUGUAGUCUGUCGGUGAGCACUCUCCUGAGGAGGACAAAUCCGCCGGGAGCGGAUUUGAACGUUGCGCAGCAACGGCCCGGAGGGUGGCGGGCAGGACGCCCUCCAU